This 1662-nucleotide ribosomal RNA is filed under the name Triticum aestivum (bread wheat). Its description in RNAcentral is "partial small subunit ribosomal RNA". Lineage: Eukaryota; Viridiplantae; Streptophyta; Magnoliopsida; Poales; Poaceae. The record is from RNAcentral.
AUGGCAGAAUCUGCAGUUUCUGCUGUGGUGGGAAGAAUUGGUAACCUGGUCGUCAGGGAGUCAUCGCUACUUUGUUCAGUCACCGGUGAAGUGGAGUUCUUGAAGGAGGAGCUAGAGAGGCUGCAGGGUUUUCUGGAAGACGCCGACAACAAGAUGAGGUCUGGCAACGCGAGCAUGGCUGUCUGCGUCAGGCAGCUCAGAGAUGCAUCAUAUGAAACGGAGAACAUUAUUGAAGCUGCAGUGUACGUGAAGUUGCGAAGCAGGCUGAAGAAGGGUUUUAUGGGUGCCAUCUCAAGGUAUGCUCGUUUGCCAAGAAAGUUUGUUGCCCUUCAUAAGGUUGAUGUUCAAAUUCGUCGUGUAAGGCGUAAAAUCAGUGCAAUUGAGAAUAGCAUGUUUAAUUUAAAUAUUGCCAACCUCAGCAUCGAUGCGUCAGAGGAUAUUGAGGAUAAUGCACUUAUCCCGCAGAAUUUUGUAGAUGAUGUUGUUGUUGGUUUUGAGGAUGAGUGCAAAGAAAUAGUGGAAAAGCUAGUUGACCAAAAGAAUGAAAAACUUAGUGCUGUCUCAUUGGUAGCCAUGGGUGGAGCAGGAAAGACUACACUCGCUAGAAAAGCGUACAAUUCACCUAGAGUAAAAGAAUACUUUAAUGAAUUUGCUUGGGUGACUGUAUCCCAAAAGUUCAAGGGCAUUGAUGUACUAAAUGAUAUUCUGAAACAAAUAACGGGGGCCAGUUAUGAAUCAAGCAAGGCAACUGAUCAAAUCCAGGAGAAUGAGAUCGGAAAGAAGAUCCAUGACUUUCUAUUACAAAGAAGAUACUUGUUGGUUCUUGAUGAUGUGUGGGAGGCAGACACUUGGGAGCAAAUAAAUAGAGCAGCUAAAGUCUUUCCAGAUACAAAUAAUGGCAGUAGAGUACUGUUAACCACACGGAAAAAAGAUGUUGCGCAUCAUAUUCAAACUUAUGUUUGUGAUCUAAAGCUCAUGGAUGAAGAGAAAUCUUGGGAGCUUUUUAAAAGCAAAGUUUUACCAUCAUACAGAACGUACAUGAUUUGUAAUCCUGACAAGUUUGAAGAAAUAGGGAGAAAACUUGCAAGGAAGUGUGCUGGCCUGCCACUUGCACUUGCAGUUCUUGGGGGGUAUCUAUCGAAGAAUCUAAAUCUAGAUGCAUGGUCAGAUUUGCUUUUGGGUUGGACAUCCAUAGAAGAAGUAGAGGUGGUGGGACACAUACUAGCUCGGAGUUAUAAUGACUUGUCAAAUAAGUGGCGCAAGUCAUGUUUCCUCUAUGUUGCUUCUUUCCCGGAGGAUUAUGAUAUAACUGUGGCAGAUCUGAUUGAAGUCUGGAUAGCUGAAUGCUUCAUUCCACAUACAGCAAGGCAUACAAUGGAAGAAACGGCACAGAGGUAUGUUACCGAUUUGGCUCAAAGGAACUUGGUGCAAUUUGACUUUGCAAUGGCAUCUGGUUAUAUGGCAAUCCAAACAAUAAGGAUUCAUGAUGUUCUACGUGAUUGGUGCAUAGAAGAAGCAAGAAGAGAUGGUUUUCUCCAUAUCAUUGACAAAACUACAGGCCAAGCUGGUGCAUCAUCUUCUGAUAGAGGAAGUAUCCUGUGCAACGAGCCAACUCGUGCACCCAGUACACCGAGCAAUUCUGGGCCAUUGGAUUGGAAAUAG